Small nucleolar RNA from Helicoverpa armigera (cotton bollworm), 74 nucleotides. The record is from RefSeq and is a predicted model, not a curated record. Lineage: Eukaryota; Metazoa; Arthropoda; Insecta; Lepidoptera; Noctuidae.
CUAAAAUGAUGUAAAACUUUUAUCCGAAUAACCAUGUGGUUACAAAAUAUACGAGCUUUUUAACACUGAUUAGU